GAUGAACGCUGGCGGCGUGCCUAAUACAUGCAAGUCGAGCGAACAGACGAGGAGCUUGCUCCUCUGACGUUAGCGGCGGACGGGUGAGUAACACGUGGAUAACCUACCUAUAAGACUGGGAUAACUUCGGGAAACCGGAGCUAAUACCGGAUAAUAUAUUGAACCGCAUGGUUCAAUAGUGAAAGACGGUUUUGCUGUCACUUAUAGAUGGAUCCGCGCCGCAUUAGCUAGUUGGUAAGGUAACGGCUUACCAAGGCAACGAUGCGUAGCCGACCUGAGAGGGUGAUCGGCCACACUGGAACUGAGACACGGUCCAGACUCCUACGGGAGGCAGCAGUAGGGAAUCUUACGCAAUGGGCGAAAGCCUAACGGAGCAACGCCGCGUGAGUGAUGAAGGUCUUCGGAUCGUAAAACUCUGUUAUUAGGGAAGAACAAAUGUGUAAGUAACUAUGCACGUCUUGACGGUACCUAAUCAGAAAGCCACGGCUAACUACGUG
Molecule: ribosomal RNA, 497 nt
Filed under: uncultured bacterium
Lineage: Bacteria
Description: partial 16S ribosomal RNA
Rfam family: Bacterial small subunit ribosomal RNA
Source: RNAcentral